Molecule: ribosomal RNA, 164 nt
Filed under: Canna iridiflora
Lineage: Eukaryota; Viridiplantae; Streptophyta; Magnoliopsida; Zingiberales; Cannaceae
Also listed under: 1 other name
Description: 5.8S ribosomal RNA
Rfam family: 5.8S ribosomal RNA
About the family: 5.8S ribosomal RNA (5.8S rRNA) is a component of the large subunit of the eukaryotic ribosome. It is transcribed by RNA polymerase I as part of the 45S precursor that also contains 18S and 28S rRNA.
Source: RNAcentral
CAAACGACUCUCGGCAACGGAUAUCUCGGCUCUCGCAUCGAUGAAGAACGUAGCGAAAUGCGAUACCUGGUGUGAAUUGCAGAAUCCCGCGAACCAUCGAGUCUUUGAACGCAAGUUGCGCCCGAGGCCUUCGGGUCGAGGGCACGCCUGCCUGGGCGUCACGC